This 84-nucleotide transfer RNA is filed under the name Clostridium cavendishii DSM 21758. It matches the Rfam family "tRNA". From Rfam's summary of the family: Transfer RNA (tRNA) molecules are approximately 80 nucleotides in length. Their secondary structure includes four short double-helical elements and three loops (D, anti-codon, and T loops). The record is from Rfam by way of RNAcentral. Lineage: Bacteria; Bacillati; Bacillota; Clostridia; Eubacteriales; Clostridiaceae.
GCCGAUGUGGUGGAAUUGGCAGACGCAACGGACUCAAAAUCCGUCGGUAGCAAUACCGUGCGGGUUCGAUUCCCGCCAUCGGCA